This 460-nucleotide ribosomal RNA is filed under the name uncultured bacterium. RNAcentral describes it as "partial 16S ribosomal RNA". It matches the Rfam family "Bacterial small subunit ribosomal RNA", at positions 338 to 795 of the family's 1533-position model. The record is from RNAcentral.
CCUACGGGUGACAGCAGUGAGGAAUAUUGGUCAAUGGGCGCGAGCCUGAACCAGCCAAGUAGCGUGAAGGAUGACUGCCCUACGGGUUGUAAACUUCUUUUAUAAAGGAAUAAAGUUAGGCACGUGUGCCUGUUUGUAUGUACUUUAUGAAUAAGGAUCGGCUAACUCCGUGCCAGCAGCCGCGGUAAUACGGAGGAUCAGAGCGUUAUCCGGAUUUAUUGGGGUUAAAGGGAGCGUAGAUGGGUUGUUAAGUCAGGUGUGAAAGUUUGCGGCUCAACCAUAAAAGUGCAAUUGAUACUGGCAGUCUUGAGUGCAGUGGAGGUAGGCGGAAUUCGUGGUGUAGCGGUGAAAUGCUUAGAUAUCACGAAGAACUCCGAUUGCGAAGGCAGCAUACUAAACGGCCACUGACAUUGAUGCUCGAAAGUGUGGGUAUCGAACAGGAUUAGAUACCCGAGUAGUC